CCUACGGGCGGCUGCAGUCGGGAAUAUUGCUCAAUGGGCGCAAGCCUGAAGCAGCAACGCCGCGUGAAGGAUGACUGUCUUCGGGUUGUAAACUCCUUUUGAUAGAGAAGUUAAUGACGGCAUCUAACGAUUAAGCAUGUACUAACUCCGUGCCAGAAGCCGCGGUAAUACGGAGGGGCCAAGCUUUUCCCGGAAUGACUGGGGUUAAAGGGCGCGUAGGGGGGUUAUCAAGUCAGAUGUGAAUUCUUAUGGCUUAACCAUAAAAUUGCGUUUGACACUGGUAGUCUAGAGUAUAGGAGAGGUAGGUGGAAUUCUUGGUGUAGGGGUAAAAUCCUUAGAGAUCAAGAGGAAUACUGAUUGCGAAGGCGACCUACUAGAACACCACUGACACUGAUGCUCGAAAGCGUUGGGAGCAAACAGGAUUAGAUACCCGUGUAGUC
This 440-nucleotide ribosomal RNA is filed under the name uncultured bacterium. Its description in RNAcentral is "partial 16S ribosomal RNA". It matches the Rfam family "Bacterial small subunit ribosomal RNA", at positions 338 to 795 of the family's 1533-position model. The record is from RNAcentral.